This is a long non-coding RNA of Arabidopsis thaliana (thale cress), 310 nucleotides long. RefSeq annotates it as other RNA. The transcript has a single exon. Lineage: Eukaryota; Viridiplantae; Streptophyta; Magnoliopsida; Brassicales; Brassicaceae. The record is from RefSeq.
GGGCUGUCCGGUUUCUGAGCGGUCUGACCAUUAUGCGAUCAUUAACAUUAUCUCAAUUUUAAGAAAAUAAUAAUAAAAAUGGCCAAAAUAUUGAUAAAGAUUGAAGAAAAAUAGGAGAAAUAAAUGAGAAAGGAGGUGAGAAGGCGUCACGUGCACAUGAUCCAACCGGUGAACAGAGACAUGUCACGCAAAGUCAGCCAUUUUUCAGAGCCCAAAACCAAAAACCCAUUCAAAUAUUCAUGAGCUUUAGGACGAUCUUACCCUCUCGUUAUCCCAUUUUAUUACUAUCACAUGCCCCUUGUUUUCUCAC